GGAAAAUUAGUUUGACACAUGAUGAAAACAUUUCUGAAAAGCACUGAGAGAAAAAAGAACGAGUGCGGAGUGAACAAAGUUUGAAACUUGAGUCGUCAGUAAAAACGAGUAGCCUGUAAGAACGCCUUUGAUGAAAGCAGAACCUGUUGAAAUUCUCGAGGCUGGAUCGGGACGCUGUCGCAAGGUUAUGAUGGACGUCAACAGAAAACAUACCAAACGCUUCACACGCAAUGCUGUCGCCAACCUGGGAGCCAAAGGUGGCAGAGACGAUGCUGAACCCAGUCAGUUCUUCAAUUUUCAACCCACAAUCAUCAUAUGACAUCUGAGCUCACUGCUGCAGCAACAUUUACUCAACAUAUGAAACAGC
This is a long non-coding RNA of Ictalurus punctatus (channel catfish), 367 nucleotides long. The record is from Ensembl. NCBI's taxonomy places the organism in Eukaryota, Metazoa, Chordata, Actinopteri, Siluriformes, Ictaluridae.